UGCGAGGUCAUCUAGCGGUAGGAUACAUGUCUCUGGAACAUGUCACCUAGGUUCGAAUCCUAGCCUCGCAG
RNAcentral lists this transfer RNA (71 nucleotides) under Patescibacteria group bacterium. RNAcentral's name for it is "tRNA-Gln". It matches the Rfam family "tRNA". From Rfam's summary of the family: Transfer RNA (tRNA) molecules are approximately 80 nucleotides in length. Their secondary structure includes four short double-helical elements and three loops (D, anti-codon, and T loops). The record is from RNAcentral.